AUAGAGAAUGAACAGAGAGAGAGAGGGAGAGACAGAGAGAGGGAGAGAGGGAAAGAGAGAGAGAGGGAGUGCCGGCAGGUAGAACAGGUUUGGGCGAGGCGGUCAAGACACUCAGCAGAGAGACAGAGAGACAGAGAGACAGAGAGACGAGUCAGAUUUAUUGUUUCGGUCAAAUAAAACUUCAUUUUUCCAGAUACGAAGGACCUGAAUCUGUUUUAGACAGAAGAAGAAGAAGCUGCCAGAGGAGUUGGACGGUUUUUAAAAAGACAGAAGAAGACGAAGGUGGACACACCUGAGGACAUAUUGGUUGUUCCACCGCCCCUCCCCCUCUGACCCGUCCUGUGACAUCAUCAAAAUGUCAUCAAAAAUCAACAUUUCUUUGGAGAACCCGUAUGGUCAGGUGACCAUCCCUCGGGCUAAGCUCCGCCCCUCAGAUGAUGCAACAGUGAUAUCCAAUCCGGUGGCUCUGAGCAGCGAGAACCCAUACGCCCAGAAGGGCUCAGCCCCGCCCCCCUACACGGUGACGGAGGAAGAGGAGGAGGAAGAGGCGGGGCGAUGCCCAGCCUGCUGCUACCGCUGCCGCAGGAGGAAGUGAUGUCACCGAACCAGAACCAACAGAACCAGAACUGGGCUGCAGAUCCGAAGCUUAGAGACUUCAAAGGAAACAGUUCACACAGACUUUGGACCAUCGAUUCUGGUUCUGGAGCUCAGGACAGAACCCGAACAGAACCUGGACAGAACCCGAACAGAACCUGGACAGAACCUGGACAGAACCUGGACAGAACCCGAACAGAACCUGGACAGAACCUGAACAGAACCCGAACAGAACCUGAACAGAACCUGAACAGAACCUGGAUAGAACCUGGAUAGAACCUGGACAGAACCUGGACAGAACCCGAACAGAACCUGGACAGAACCUGAACAGAACCCGAACAGAACCUGAACAGAACCUGAACAGAACCUGGAUAGAACCUGGACAGAACCUGAACAGAACCCGAACAGAACCUGAACAGAACCUGAACAGAACCUGGAUAGAACCUGGACAGAACCUGAACAGAACCUGAACAGAACCUGAACAGAACCUGGAUAGAACCUGGACAGAACCUGGAUAGAACCUGAACAGAACCUGGAUAGAACCUGGACAGAACCUGGACAGAACCCGAACAGAACCUGGACAGAACCUGAACAGAACCUGAACAGAACCCGAACAGAACCUGAACAGAACCUGGAUAGAACCUGGACAGAACCUGAACAGAACCUGGACAGAACCUGAACAGAACCCGAACAGAACCUGAACAGAACCUGGACAGAACCUGAACAGAACCUGGAUAGAACCUGGACAGAACCUGAACAGAACCUGGACAGAACCUGAACAGAACCUGAACAGAACCUGGACAGAACCUGGACAGAACUUGCUUCAGAACUCUGAGAAAUUAGAUUUAAAUGUUUGUUUUUUAUAUUUUUAGAUUUAUUUAGUUUUAGUUCCUUCGAAAAGUCAAGAUGGCUGCCUGGCUGCCGUUGCCAUGACAACUCCACCUGAAGACUUUGUUUUACACUUUAAAUCAUUUUCAUAUAAAAUGUAAAUCGGAUCCUAUUUAACGAUAUUUAAUCAAAGUUCAGAAAAACGUUUUGAAUUUUAUUUUCAACAAAAAGAUUUUGAUGAGAUUUUUGUUCCAGCAGCAGAAAAACGAACCGAAUCAUGACGUCAUAACCAGGCAGAGAUUAUGGCUGUGAAACAUUUAUGAAUCAUUAUUUUAUUGCUGAAAUGCUUGUUUUAUUUCUGGCUUCAGGAAAAAUGUUUCUCCAUAAAGUAUUUUUGUUUUCUGCAUCUUUUCAAAAUGCCUGUGAAGCCGCAGCGAGUUGGAGAUGAAGAACAAAAUAAAAUCAUGAUUUGCUUUGCU
This is a long non-coding RNA of Poeciliopsis prolifica (blackstripe livebearer), 1901 nucleotides long. RefSeq lists it as uncharacterized. The transcript is spliced from 2 exons. Lineage: Eukaryota; Metazoa; Chordata; Actinopteri; Cyprinodontiformes; Poeciliidae. The record is from RefSeq and is a predicted model, not a curated record.